ACACACACACACACACACACACACACACACAAUGAAAAGUUUGAAAAAGAGUUGCCAUGUGCAGGCUGUUUGGUCUCCUGACAGUUACCAUAGGUCUUGACUCAGAAAAUUCAUAUAAGCUGCCUUACUAAUGAGACUUUCUAUACAACAAAGUGAGGUCAUUCUUUGUUAAUUUAUGCCAUAAGUUGCUGGCUAUCAUGUGUGUGAAGAUACCCUAAACUUAACCUAACCUAACCUAACAAAACCACAAACAGUUACCAUAGGUCUUGACUCAGAAAAUUCAUAUAAGCUGCCUUACUAAUGAGACUUUCUAUACAACAAAGUGAGGUCAUUCUUUGUUAAUUUAUGCCAUAAGUUGCUGGCUAUCAUGUGUGUGAAGAUACCCUAAACUUAACCUAACCUAACCUAACAAAACCCCAAACAGUUACCAUACGUCUUGACUCAGAAAAUUCAUAUAAGCUGCCUUACUAAUGAGACUUUCUAUACAACAAAGUGAGGUCAAUCUUUGUUAAUUUAUGCCAUAAGUUGCUGGCUAUCAUGUGUGUGAAGAUACCCUAAACUUAACCUAACCUAACCUAACAAAACCACAAACAGUUACCAUACAUCUUGACUCAGAAAAUUCAUAUAAGCUGCCUUACUAAUGAGACUUUCUAUACAACAAAGUGAGGUCAUUCUUUGUUAAUUUAUGCCAUAAGUUGCUGGCUAUCAUGUGUGUGAAGAUACCCUAAACUUAACCUAACCUAACCUAA
Molecule: long non-coding RNA, 749 nt
Organism: Eriocheir sinensis (Chinese mitten crab)
Lineage: Eukaryota; Metazoa; Arthropoda; Malacostraca; Decapoda; Varunidae
Exons: 3
Source: RefSeq, a predicted model, not a curated record